UCAUACACAAUGUCAAGCACAAUAUCUAAUCCUCAAUAUCAUUACAUGACUGAAACUGUACUUUUACAUAACAUUAAUACAUUUAUCAUGUCCACACUAUCUAUUACAUAAACCAGACUUCAUUACUCUUGUAAACCUCCUGGUCUACCCUGUACCUGCAAUCCUGGGGAAAUGGGAGAGGGGUGAGCUACUAGAGCCCAGUGAGCAGAAUAAUAGAAAAACAUUUAAAUCAUAUGGAUCAUGGAAUGCAUCACAUCACAUCUAAUCACAUCAAGGAUGAACUUGUCACCAAUAGCCCUCUACAU
Molecule: long non-coding RNA, 305 nt
Filed under: Manihot esculenta (cassava)
Lineage: Eukaryota; Viridiplantae; Streptophyta; Magnoliopsida; Malpighiales; Euphorbiaceae
Description: long non-coding RNA (MESC_LNC002121)
Source: RNAcentral